CGUCUCGCUCGUUUUGCUCCGUCUCUCUUCCUCCUCACUUCCCACCCACCCUCGUUUUGCUCCGUCUCUCUUCCUCCUCACUUCCCACCCACCCUCGCUCGUUUUGUUCUGUCUCUCUUUCUCCUCACUCCCUCCGUCGAUCCUCUGCAGCUUGCAUCGGUCGACCAGUAGUCUUCCACUGUAAUCGCCUCUCAUUAUUCUUUCUGCCACGCUCCUCUUCGUCCUUACUCCCUCCGUCUUGUCUAUCUGUAGCCACUUCGUCUUCCUACGUUUUUGCCAGGAUUUGAGGCUGUCAUAGUAUGCUCUCUGACCGUGCUGGCGGGAGGAAGGAGAUGAUUUAAGUUCUCUGCGUUUAUAACCAGAAAGAGGAGGAUAAUCCAAUCAUGGUAACUAAAUAGUAGGUAGUAAUGUUUCACGGUAAAUCACAGUGCUCGAAUGCGAUAUGAUCUUUGACUCGGAGUAUUGAAGACUAAUUUAGUUUGAGUUUGAGAUUAGUUGUUUUUGUCAUUAAUAAACUCACAUUGGCAUCUGGUUACGAGCUCACUACUAGAUUUUAGAUCUCCAGUUUUGGUGUACUUUUGCUGCAUGUGUCUCCCAGAGUUGCAGAUUUGCAGGAUGGCUUGAUCUGGCAAGUGCUCGCCAUUCUAUGGGCCCAUCAUGCUUUUCGAGUACACUGUUUGAUCACAAGGAGCGGUCUGCUGCCACUAAACUUCAAGUUGUUGAUCAUGAUGGCCUGAAAAAUUAUCGGGGAUAUGCUCAUAUGCCUUGGCCUUAAUUUAAACUACUUGUAUGAGAUGGAGAAAUGUCACAAAACACAGGAUGAAGACGACUCCAGGAAUCCACCCAUGCCUCUCAGUGACUCAGUGGCACAAACGACAGCCUAGUCAGGACUAGGAGACGUCUUCACAUCACGGAGUAGACCACUCAGCAACAACAGUGCAACGGUGUUCGGACUUUUGUUCACAUAUGGGAGUGUUUAAGCUCCUGCACCUAGAUUUAGAAACACCACCAUGUAAAAUAGACAAGACAGUGCUUUUGCAAACAUGAUGCUACCACGAGACCCGAACUCAUGUAUGGCCAAACAUGUUAACAUAUUUUGUAUGUCACCAAAACGCUUAUUUACAUCAAUGAGCGAUUAUCUGAA
RNA transcript from Zea mays, 1144 nucleotides. RefSeq lists it as uncharacterized. The transcript has 6 exons. The record is from RefSeq and is marked validated. Lineage: Eukaryota; Viridiplantae; Streptophyta; Magnoliopsida; Poales; Poaceae.